This is a long non-coding RNA of Solanum tuberosum (potato), 538 nucleotides long. RefSeq lists it as uncharacterized. Lineage: Eukaryota; Viridiplantae; Streptophyta; Magnoliopsida; Solanales; Solanaceae. The record is from RefSeq and is a predicted model, not a curated record. The transcript has 2 exons.
UCUCCUCUCUCUAUCCAUCUUAAUUAGUACGUAAUACUAUAGUCUAUAUUGUUAUGGUUCGCAAUUACGCUUUCUAUUUCGCUGUUGUGCUUAUUGUGAUAUCUGUUUAUUUGGCGAAGUCUCCAAAUGUGAAAGUAAUUGCUGCAAGAGACUUAUCGCAGACUAUAACAGAUUUGAAAUCAAAACUCAAUGGUUAUAAGUUGAUGGGUGGUUGUGGUGGAUACUGUAGACAGAAGAGCGAUUGCUUCGAUAGGACAUGUCCCCGUUGUUACUAUGAUAUUAUUAAACUUACUUACGGCUGCCACUCGUAAAGGAUCGUCGAUCGUCGAUGGCCAAGACAAUAUGAUUUAUGUUACUUCUAAGUUCUAAAUAUAUGAGUAAAUGUUUGUGUGGUUUAAUGUCUUUAAGCUUUUUUUGUGGGAAAAAAUAAAACGACUUAAGUUCUACUUCUAGUUAUAAUAGUGGUCGGACAAUGUAGGAUGUAAUGUAUAUUUAUCAAUAUGAAUGAAGUUGGAGUGAAUAAUUUUUUUUUUGCGAA